RNAcentral lists this ribosomal RNA (560 nucleotides) under uncultured fungus. Its description in RNAcentral is "SSU rRNA". It matches the Rfam family "Eukaryotic small subunit ribosomal RNA", at positions 191 to 755 of the family's 1831-position model. The record is from RNAcentral. Lineage: Eukaryota; Fungi.
AUUGGAAGGGGUGUAUUUAUUAGAUAAAAAACCAAUGCCCUUCGGGGCUCCUUGGUGAUUCAUGAUAACUUCUCGAAUCGCAUGGCCUUGCGCCGGCGAUGGUUCAUUCAAAUUUCUUCCCUAUCAACUUUCGAUGUUUGGGUAUUGGCCAAACAUGGUUGCAACGGGUAACGGAGGGUUAGGGCUCGACCCCGGAGAAGGAGCCUGAGAAACGGCUACUACAUCCAAGGAAGGCAGCAGGCGCGCAAAUUACCCAAUCCCGACACGGGGAGGUAGCGACAAUAAAUACUGAUACAGGGCUCUUUUGGGUCUUGUAAUUGGAAUGAGUACAAUUUAAAUCCCUUAACGAGGAACAAUUGGAGGGCAAGUCUGGUGCCAGCAGCCGCGGUAAUUCCAGCUCCAAUAGCGUAUAUUAAAGUUGUUGUGGUUAAAAAGCUCGUAGUUGAACCUUGGGCCUGGCUGGCCGGUCCGCCUCACCGCGUGUACUGGUCCGGCCGGGCCUUUCCCUCUGUGGAACCCCAUGCCCUUCACUGGGUGUGGCGGGGAACCAGGACUUUUAC